Molecule: ribosomal RNA, 637 nt
Filed under: Pyrostremma spinosum
Lineage: Eukaryota; Metazoa; Chordata; Thaliacea; Pyrosomata; Pyrosomatidae
Description: SSU rRNA
Rfam family: Eukaryotic small subunit ribosomal RNA
Source: RNAcentral
CAGCAGCCGCGGUAAUUCCAGCUCCAAAAGUGUAUAUUUAAGUUGUUGCGGUUAAAAAGCUCGUAGUUGGAUUCCGGGUUCGGGCGGUCGGUCCGUCGCAAGGCGUGCACUGGCCGUCCCGUCCUCACCUUCGGUGCUCCGCCGGUGCUCUUGACUGAGUGUCGGCGGUGGCCGGAACGUUUACCUUGAAAAAAUUAGAGUGUUCAAAGCAGGCGGUUCGCUUGCAUAAUGGUGCAUGGAAUAAUGAAAUAGGACCUCGGUUCUAUUUUGUUGGUUUUCGGAGCGCGAGGUAAUGAUUAAGAGGAACGGACGGGGGCAUCCGUACUGUGCCGUUAGAGGUGAAAUUCUUGGAUCGGCGCAAGACGAACGACUGCGAAAGCAUUUGCCAAGAAUGUUUUCUUUAAUCAAGAGCGAAAGUCAGAGGUUCGAAGACGAUCAGAUACCGUCCUAGUUCUGACUAUAAACGAUGCCGACUAGCGAUCGGGCAGCGUUACUUGAACGACCUGCCCGGCAGCUUCCGGGAAACCAAAGUCUUUGGGUUCCGGGGGAAGUAUGGUUGCAAAGCUGAAACUUAAAGGAAUUGACGGAAGGGCACCACCAGGAGUGGAGCCUGCGGCUUAAUUUGACUCAACACGGG